GACGAACGCUGGCGGCGUGCUUAACACAUGCAAGUCGAACGGAAAGGCCCUGCUUUUGUGGGGUGCUCGAGUGGCGAACGGGUGAGUAACACGAGAGUAACCUGCCCUUGACUUUGGGAUAACUUCAGGAAACUGGGGCUAAUACCGGAUAGGAGCUCCUGCUGCAUGGUGGGGGUUGGAAAGUUUCGGCGGUUGGGGAUGGACUCGCGGCUUAUCAGCUUGUUGGUGGGGUAGUGGCUUACCAAGGCUUUGACGGGUAGCCGGCCUGAGAGGGUGACCGGCCUCAUUGGGACUGAGAUACGGCCCAGACUCCUACGGGAGGCAGCAGUGGGGAAUAUUGCACAAUGGGCGGAAGCCUGAUGCAGCAACGCCGCGUGCGGGAUGACGGCCUUCGGGUUGUAAACCGCUUUCGCCUGUGACGAAGCGUGAGUGACGGUAAUGGGUAAAGAAGCACCGGCUAACUACGUG
RNAcentral lists this ribosomal RNA (468 nucleotides) under uncultured bacterium. Its description in RNAcentral is "partial 16S ribosomal RNA". It matches the Rfam family "Bacterial small subunit ribosomal RNA", at positions 28 to 507 of the family's 1533-position model. The record is from RNAcentral.